Molecule: long non-coding RNA, 643 nt
Filed under: Monodelphis domestica (gray short-tailed opossum)
Lineage: Eukaryota; Metazoa; Chordata; Mammalia; Didelphimorphia; Didelphidae
Description: lncRNA (ENSMODG00000047536.1)
Source: RNAcentral
UCGGGAAUAGCCAGCAUUUGGUAAAAGGGGGCAAUGUGAAUGCUUAUUCUUAACUUUGAGUUUUGUGUUUCCUCUUAUAGGCACACAUUGAAGUGCAUCCAUACAUUUAGGGAAUAUUUAUUAAGCAUCUUCAGGAUGCCUGACACUGCACUAAUUCCUAAAGUGACAAGGAAAAGUGAUAGGGGAAAAGGUCCUCAAGAUGAGUGUGCACAGAGACACUUGCGCGUGAAGGAGAUUUAAGUGGAAGAGUCGGUGCACAGAGACAGUCCCACCCUCUUGGCGUUGGAAGCCUGGGUCCAGUGGCACGAAAAGUCGUUACACCUGGAGACUUCCUCAGCUGCAUUGGAUGGCCAUGUUGUCUUUUGUGCUCCAACACGCCCUGAUCACUCCACAGUGCUUUGCUGCGUCGCCCUCUCAGCCGUUGAACCUUCUUGUUGGUUUCUUCCACCUGUUCGGCCGAAGCAGUCUUCACAUGCUGGGUGGAUUAAAGAAGAAAUCAAAGAAACCAUCAUCAAUUUUUCCAAGGAGAAUGACAAUGAGGAGACAGCAUAUCAAAAUUUAUGUUAUACAGAUAAAAUAGUACUCAGGGGAAAGCAUAUGCCUCUGAGAGCUUAUAUCAAUAAAAAAGAGAAAAAGCAAAUCA